AUUGACAGUAUGAGGAAUUGAGUUACAACAAAACUUCGCUUGUUUAACAUCUCACAGGUCAUUUUUUGCAAUAUGGCGUC
Non-coding RNA from Caenorhabditis elegans, 80 nucleotides. NCBI's taxonomy places the organism in Eukaryota, Metazoa, Nematoda, Chromadorea, Rhabditida, Rhabditidae. The record is from Ensembl.